GGGCUGUAGCUCAGUUGGCUAGAGCGCCUGCCUUGCAAGCAGGAGGUCAGGAGUUCGACUCUCCUCAGCUCC
This 72-nucleotide transfer RNA is filed under the name human gut metagenome. It matches the Rfam family "tRNA". Rfam says of the family: Transfer RNA (tRNA) molecules are approximately 80 nucleotides in length. Their secondary structure includes four short double-helical elements and three loops (D, anti-codon, and T loops). Further hydrogen bonds mediate the characteristic L-shaped molecular structure. tRNAs have two regions of fundamental functional importance: the anti-codon, which is responsible for specific mRNA codon recognition, and the 3' end, to which the tRNAs corresponding amino acid is attached (by aminoacyl-tRNA synthetases). tRNAs cope with the degeneracy of the genetic code in two manners: having more than one tRNA (with a specific anti-codon) for a particular amino acid; and 'wobble' base-pairing, i.e. permitting non-standard base-pairing at the 3rd anti-codon position. The record is from RNAcentral.